This is a long non-coding RNA of Balaenoptera musculus (blue whale), 3781 nucleotides long. RefSeq lists it as uncharacterized. The transcript has 3 exons. The record is from RefSeq and is a predicted model, not a curated record. NCBI's taxonomy places the organism in Eukaryota, Metazoa, Chordata, Mammalia, Artiodactyla, Balaenopteridae.
UCAGUGGAAGCCCGGGUAUCGGCGGGCGGCCGCGAGAAGGCCUAGCGGCGCCUGGGGAACAAGGAGAAGGCGGGGGGCCGGAGGGGAAAACCAGCAGCAGGAGUUAAGGGCGAGAAGAGACCCGGAGGGGCAGGUGGCUGAAAUGCGGUCGUCCAGGUGCCCCGAGGAAUACUCUGGAGAAAGAGGGCCGCGCAUGCGCGUGGCGGAGCGCUGAAGCCCAUUGCCCACAGGGCGUCUACGGGCGCCGGGGCAGGCGGGACCGUCCCGCCCAGGGUGUGGGCCCGGGCUCUGGCCCGGCUCGGGCUGGUCCCGGUUGGGGCUGGGAGCCGCCGGGGGCGGGACAAGGGCGGGUUGCGAACUUUGAGCUACACUGCUCCUCUCUCCAGGCCAGUCCCGGGAGAAGGUGGCUCGCCGAGUCGGCGGCCAAUUACGUGGUGGACCUGCGGGUCUCAGCUGGCACGUCACUUCCGACAAAUUGAGUUUAAGCCUUUUAACAUUCAAGGAUUAGCUCAGUUUUCCCUGCCGUGGACUUCGGAUGCUGGUCACCUUGUCCUUGCUAGGCGAGCUUUACGGAAAUAAUCUACCUCCUCCGAUGGAGUGGAAGCCCCGAAAGAGCUGGUACUGUGACUCUGCUGCUCCCCUUUGUGUCCUCAGCUCCUCGCUCGGUGCCCGACCGCAGCGAGCGCGCCGUGAGCACCCAUUCUGGGUGCGAGCCAAUUCCGUCUUUUUCCAGUUUUGUGGCUUUGGCUUGAGUUUCUCCUCAAGAGCAGAUGGUGGUUGUGCGGGGACUCCGGACUCCUGCGUUAUAGCCUCCUUACUUUCCUCUCCUGUUGCUGGAAGCUUCGCAGCCCUGUGACUUUGGAGGACGAGAGCGAGAUGAUGAGGCUGGGGAAAAGUCGGCGGACAGAGUGUCUGACACACAGGAAGCCUUAGCUCAAAGAAGGAGAUCAAGGCUUGGAAUGAAUGAGUAAUUUGCCUGCGGUCACACAGCUGCUGUAUGGCAGAGCCAGAGGAGAAUCUAGAUCCUUAACCACUCAAGAACUAGAAAGAAGAAAACACUGCACGGGUGUCAGGAGACCCAAGGACUAACCUUGAGUUGGCAGCUCUUGUGUCAUCCUACCUAGGAAAUUGAAAAAGUCUCAACUCCCUAUAGAUACCUUUUAAGAUAAAUCGCUGAAGAGAACUGUUGGCUAUAAUGAAGGUAUGGAGAAUUUCCUUUUCCGGCUCAAGAGUAUCCCUCCUAUGAGGAGUUCAGACUAGGUGCUCUAUAAGGCCCUUUUGGAUUUUAUAUUGCAAGUCUUUCUACCUCACCUGAAUGCUCUCCAUUAAUGACUCCACUACCCUUUAUUCUUUCUUUCCCUCAUCUUCAUGUUGCGAUGGAACGUUUCCUCAGGAGCGACCACCUUCUGCUCUCCAUGGUCCUGAAAAGAUGUCUCUGGGUUUUCUGAAAGUUUCUGUUUCCCAAAUGCAAAUUUGAGUUUUGAUUGGUUCUUGAAGAAAAAGAAGAUGGCAGAUGAUCUGCUAAUGACUUACUGGAAAACACAGGAGAAUGAAAGGCACUACCCAGGUGGUAGAGUCAGAUCUUCUGUUAUUUUGCAUUUCUCCAUCUCUCCCUCUUUCUUUUGGCUGCCUCAGUGAGUCCAACUCUGCUUCUCUUGUUGCUGAGGUCUCAGACCUUAUGAUUUACUCUAGAGGUGCUGGCAGAACUGAGCUCAGAUUUAGGAUUAAGGAGAUUAGGACUGGAGAAGGAUUAGGUAGGUUCCAGAGGCUGAUGGGUUUAUCUGUCAGAGAGACUUCAGGAGCUCUGUAUCUCUCACACUCAGACCUUUGUCCACUCUGGGAGCAACACAGUGUUGUCACUGAUCAUGCCCUGAUUCACUUCAGUGAAUCCCUGAGGAACUAGAAUGUCCUCCCUCCCAUCCUAAGAAUUCCACUGCUUAGGAAGUGACCCAAAAGUUAUAGCCUCUAAAAUCCUCUCCCUGUUCCCAUAGAGCACUGCAGAAAGAUUCCAGGUGGAGAUCCUGACCCUUACGAUGUGAAACUACUGGGAUGAGAUUUUUUUUUCUUCCUUUUGUUUUUAAAGGGCAUUUUCUUUGCUGUUGAUAUCCAGUGCUUCACUGCUUUGUUAAUUAUGUUGUAAUUCCUCUCCUGUAUCCCUCCCAUUUAAUUAAUUGCCAGUUUCUGACAUUUCUAAACAUCUUAGCUGUCCCCUCCUUCCUUUUCCACUUUGACUGUCCUAUUUCAGGCCCUUCCUAUACUGUGGCAGCUGACUCCCUACUUUUAUCUGAGCAUUUGGUCUCACUCCCUUGCCUCACUCCCAGUCUUUCCUCUGUACUGCCUCCUCGGUGAUAUUUCUGACUCAGAACUCUGUAGUAUUCCCCUACUCAGUCAUCUUUGAUGAUGACUUUUAUCCUUCACUGAUUGGGUAAGACCUAAAUCUCUCUGGAAUGGCUUACAAGGCUCUUUAUGAUCUUGUCCAAUGGGCUGUCCUAACUUUAUAGGUGGGAGAUUUGUGAGGAAGAACAGACCACUUGUAGAGAAAUAGACACUGCAUCUUUGUGCACUUAGGUAUAUGGGGGAUUCCAUAUGUGGUCCCAUUCAAAUGUAAGGAGAGAAAGUUUAAAACAGCUUUCUACAGUCUUUGUUUUGGCUGGUGAAAGGAGCAAAGUGAUCCUUCUCGUUUGUCAAACUGAGCACUUUCUAGAGAAGCCAAGAUCUUUGCAAACUGCUCAUGGAAAUUACUCUCUCUCUUUGCAGUAGAGGUGGGCCAUGGACCACUGAGGACACUUAUUAAGCAUGUACUCCUCAAAUAUUGAAGGAAGAGUCCAUCAGUAGCAAACUUUUAUUGAGAGACUGUGUUAGGCAUUGUGCUAGGUCCCAUGGAUACCAGUGAACAAGACAGACAUAGUCCCUUCAGGAAUCUGAGGUCAUAGCUGGGAAAAGAGACAGCUAAUUCCAAAAUGUUUCUCCAGAGAUAUAGCCAGUUCCAAACUAACUGUAGUCUUGAUCAUAACUCCUUUAUUUUUUAUUUUUUUCGUAACUCCCUUAGAGUUAUUGUUUUCAUAGUCUUUUUUCUUUUAUCAGUCUUUAUAGUGCUUCCUCUUUUUUGCUUUCAAAUCAGAAUUUAACAAAGCUUUUAUUGGCCCGGCUGACCUAUGUAGCAACAAUCUUCCCUUUGCUGCAGUGAGAGAAGUGGUCUGCAUUUAUUUUACUUUCCUCAAUUCUCAUCUUUCCCCAUGGGGGCCCAGUGUGCAAUGGCUGCAAACAGCAGCCUCCUCGGUAGUGUAUGCAGCCUGUUGCCUGAAUGGGUUGCCCUAAGGGACCUUGGAGACAGCCCUUUCCAGUGGACAUUCAUGACUGGCAUGCUGUCCCCAGUCUAGGCUCCAGACAGGUAUGUGCGGUGUCUUUGGAAAGCCCCAGGGCACAGUGGCCAGGGUCCACAUUGGCCAAAUCAUAAUGUCCAUCCACACCAAGCUGCAGAACAAGGAGCAUGUGAUUGAGGCCCUCCGCAGGGCCAAGUUCAAGUUCCCUGGCCACCAGAAGAUCCACAUCUCCAAGAAGUGGGGAUUUACUGUUUAAUGGGGAUGAAUUUGAAAACAUGGUGGCAGAAAAGUGGCUCAUCCCGGAUGGCUGUGUGGUCAAAUGCAUCCCUAAUUGUGGCCCCUGGACAAAUGGUGGGCCCUGCACUCUUGAGAGCUUUGGUGCUGUCCCCUCCUUACUCAUGCCCACCAAUAAAUCCUACUUUCCUGUCAAAAAAAAAAUUCUCAUCUUUCUUUGACUU